This is a long non-coding RNA of Daucus carota subsp. sativus, 763 nucleotides long. RefSeq lists it as uncharacterized. The transcript is spliced from 3 exons. NCBI's taxonomy places the organism in Eukaryota, Viridiplantae, Streptophyta, Magnoliopsida, Apiales, Apiaceae. The record is from RefSeq and is a predicted model, not a curated record.
ACAACACCCCCUGUACUACCACACCUAGACACACAGCUGAAACAAAAAUAAGAAAUAUGAAUUAGGAAUUUGAAUAAGAAAUUUUAAAUUAGGAAUUUGUUGUUAGUUUGUGUUUCUAAAAUUUUGAAUUUGUACGCUAUGUUUGUAUGAUUGUGUUUCUAAACUUGUUAUUAUUUGUUUUGAUGCCAAGUCUGUGGUUAGGUGUUGGAAGCUUUGAUGUUGGUGAGGUGUUGGAUCAAAAUCACAGGGCAAUUGCUAACUUGGACUUAAAUGCCGAAUCAGAGCAUUAAUAAAAAUGGAGCUUGGGAAGAAGUUGAUUGCAAAAAGAUACCCUCAUUCAUGUUGUCGAUGAAGUGAUUAAUAAAUUCCAGAUAAGCAGCGGAUAAACAAAGAAGCAGAAUCCCACUAAACAGUGCAUAUCAUUUUGCCAUAAUAACAACAUGAAUAUCUAGGAGCAGCUGGACAAGGGAACUAUUUUAGAAGAUUCUUUUGCAAUGUCUAGAAUUUGACGGAGAUCUAUCUAGGAACUUCUUGGUGUGUUGCUCAACUUGUCGGUGGUCCUCUUGAAGUUUCGGCAUCAUGAACAACAAAAUUUUUUAUAUUUAAGUUUAGUUUGUACAAAUAGCUAGAUUACUUUGUAUUAGACUUAUAUUAGGAAUGGUUUGGAUGAUGAUGUUGUGACAGCCUGAGUGCUGCUUUUGAAUUGGUGUUAUGAUUAUGAAUGAAAUUGAUGCUUGAAUUUGUGGCAUAAAAACAUGCCUGA